GGGCUUCCCAAAAUCUAUCGGACCAUAGCAAUGAUAUGAGAUAAACUCCCACCGGUCCCCAUUCUCUAAUACGUUUACAAUUCAGAGACAAGCCUGGGCAAUGUUUCGGCCAUCCUAGCAUUUCCGAAAAGUUUCGAUAGUUUGCUGGGGAAUUUUUGCGAAGAAAGUGCAAGGAUUUUGUUUUGAUAUUGAGUUUCCACCAAUGCAUGGCUGGAAGUUUAUAGGGGUUUGCGUUGUAAAAUAUAAAACCACCUUAUGGAGGUAAGAGGCUGCUGGGAUAUUCUCUUGUCGGGUAUGCGUGCUGUAGGGAUCCAAUGUAGAGGUACAGAUCUGUAUAAGCAAGUAAGGUCUUUGAGUACAUAUAAAUCCGCUUACGCCCGGGAAGGUUUCUGCUAAUGCAUGAUGAUAGAAGGCGUGUUGUUUUGCCACUUGGGGA
This 436-nucleotide small RNA is filed under the name Histoplasma capsulatum var. duboisii H88. RNAcentral's name for it is "Histoplasma capsulatum H88 hypothetical RNA". Lineage: Eukaryota; Fungi; Ascomycota; Eurotiomycetes; Onygenales; Ajellomycetaceae. The record is from RNAcentral.